Molecule: ribosomal RNA, 225 nt
Filed under: uncultured bacterium
Lineage: Bacteria
Description: partial 16S ribosomal RNA
Rfam family: Bacterial small subunit ribosomal RNA
Source: RNAcentral
UGGCGUACGGGUGAGUAACACGUGGGUAAUCUGCCUCUUUGUGGGGAAUAACACUGGGAAACCGGAGCUAAUACCGCAUAAGCCUGGAAAGGGAAAGCAAGCAAUUGCGCAGAGAGAGGAGCCCGCGGCCGAUUAGCUAGUUGGCAGGGUAAAAGCCUACCAAGGCAAUGAUCGGUAGCCGGCCUGAGAGGGCACACGGCCACACUGGCACUGAAACACGGCCAG